Long non-coding RNA from Mercenaria mercenaria, 941 nucleotides. RefSeq lists it as uncharacterized. The transcript has 4 exons. The record is from RefSeq and is a predicted model, not a curated record. NCBI's taxonomy places the organism in Eukaryota, Metazoa, Mollusca, Bivalvia, Venerida, Veneridae.
GAGUGUUAUCUAUCGAUUUGAGGAUUUAACUUCCUAGCUGACUAGCAAAUCAAAUACAUGUAAUAUCAAAUUUAUAAUGAUUAAAAACAUUCAUGACAAGUAGGACUAAUAGUUAGAAAACAAAUAAGAUGAGCUCGAAGAAGAGAAUAAAGAGUUACAAGAGGCGCAAGCGUCAAAAGAUGCAACGCAAAGGUAUUCUUCAAAAACGUACUUCAGUAGAUAUAGAAGAAUUCAUUACUGACUUUGAAAUUGCUUCUAACAGGACUGUGGACAACAAGUGGCUUAUAUAUAAGAUUAUCAUUAUGGUCGUAUUGAUGGUAUUCUUUAUUUAUUGGUUCUUUCGGCGUGUACAAACAUUGAUGGUACUAUUAAUCGAUUGCUUCGUCUGGCUUGUACAAACGUUGAUGGUACCUUUUAUUGAUUGGUUCGUCCGGCUUGUACAAACAAGAACCGGUUUAGACUUACUCGCAGUCGCAAAUAAACUUUUUACCAAAUUACAUCAAAUUAUUCACUUUAUGGACAAAUGUUUUGGUGCUGUAUUAAAUACUGUCUAUAGAUUGUGCGACCCUUGUAUUGCCGGCUUCUCCCCCUUGCAAUUCGACAUUACCAGUAGGUGAACCUGAAGUCUUUGUACCACGUCCAGCACCACCACCGCCUGACCUUCUUGACAACUGAUCAUUUAAAUUCGUACUAUUCCUUGUGUAUUAAGAAAACUUCGCCACAGAACUAUCAAUUUAAGCUCUUUACAUUUACUUGUUUAAAAAUAUCAUCCGCGGUAAAAUUGAUACUUCUAGUUUUCAAAAUCACUGGCCCGUAUUUCCAGUCAGAAAUUAAUUACUGUGCUCAGAAAUGCAAUGAAAAUCAAGAGCUAUUUAUUGGCUGAGGUACACGGAUGCAAGAAUAAAACAAUUGAAUAAAACGUGCAAUCAUAUUUAGUCUCA